RNAcentral lists this ribosomal RNA (484 nucleotides) under uncultured bacterium. RNAcentral describes it as "partial 16S ribosomal RNA". It matches the Rfam family "Bacterial small subunit ribosomal RNA", at positions 30 to 507 of the family's 1533-position model. The record is from RNAcentral.
AUUGAACGCUGGCGGCAGGCCUAACACAUGCAAGUCGAGCGGAUGAAGGGAGCUUGCUCCUGGAUUCAGCGGCGGACGGGUGAGUAAUGCCUAGGAAUCUGCCUGGUAUUGGGGGAUAACGUCCGGAAACGGGCGCUAAUACCGCAUACGUCCUGAGGGAGAAAGUGGGGGAUCUUCGGACCGCACGCUAUCAGAUGAGCCUAGGUCGGAUUAGCUAGUUGGUGGGGUAAAGGCCUACCAAGGCGACGAUCCGUAACUGGUCUGAGAGGAUGAUCAGUCACACUGGAACUGAGACACGGUCCAGACUCCUAAGGGAGGCAGCAGUGGGGAAUAUUGGACAAUGGGCGAAAGCCUGAUCCAGCCAUGCCGCGUGUGUGAAGAAGGUCUUCGGAUUGUAAAGCACUUUAAGUUGGGAGGAAGGGCAGUAAGUUAAUACCUUGCUGUUUUGACGUUACCAACAGAAUAAGCACCGGCUAACUUCGUG